AGGAGUGUAGCUCAACUGGUAGAGCACCGGUCUCCAAAACCGGGGGCUGGGGGUUCGAGCCCCUCCACUCCUG
RNAcentral lists this transfer RNA (73 nucleotides) under alpha proteobacterium BAL199. It matches the Rfam family "tRNA". From Rfam's summary of the family: Transfer RNA (tRNA) molecules are approximately 80 nucleotides in length. Lineage: Bacteria; Pseudomonadati; Pseudomonadota; Alphaproteobacteria. RNAcentral also lists the same sequence under 2 other names. The record is from Rfam by way of RNAcentral.